CUUUUGCGUUAGUGAUAGUAGCGGUAUCCUUUUUAUGUUUUGUAAAAAGAUUUAGCGAAUAGCACGACCUCAA
This 73-nucleotide small RNA is filed under the name Formosa sp. Hel1_31_208. Its description in RNAcentral is "Flavo-1 RNA". It matches the Rfam family "Flavo-1 RNA". The record is from Rfam by way of RNAcentral. Lineage: Bacteria; Pseudomonadati; Bacteroidota; Flavobacteriia; Flavobacteriales; Flavobacteriaceae.